GUAGGUGAACCUGCGGAAGGAUCAUUACUGAAUGUGGAAUAUCUUAUUCUUCAACCCACCCUGAGUAUUUGUACUUGUUGCUUCCGUGGGCAGCGAACUUUGCGUUCGCACCUGCUGAUGAAGUGGACCCACGGGAGGUACCAAUAAACUCUACAUUUAUGUCAUAUAUAGUCUGAUUUUGUUUAUUCAUUAAAUGAUAAAAACUUUCAACAACGGAUCUCUUGGUUCUCGCAUCGAUGAAGAACGCAGC
This 250-nucleotide unclassified non-coding RNA is filed under the name plant metagenome. Its description in RNAcentral is "partial contains small subunit ribosomal RNA, internal transcribed spacer 1, and 5.8S ribosomal RNA". The stretch from base 202 to 250 matches the Rfam family "5.8S ribosomal RNA", at positions 1 to 49 of the family's 154-position model. The record is from RNAcentral.